This is a long non-coding RNA of Cavia porcellus (domestic guinea pig), 928 nucleotides long. RefSeq lists it as uncharacterized. The record is from RefSeq and is a predicted model, not a curated record. Lineage: Eukaryota; Metazoa; Chordata; Mammalia; Rodentia; Caviidae. The transcript is spliced from 2 exons.
GGACUACGAGUGAGACUCCGCCCUCUUCGCCCUGAGUGACACCAGCGUGGAGGUCCGGUAGCUGAAUCCACCCGGCUGUUACCCGAAUUCCUCACCUUGGUUCCGGUCUCUAGGUGUACUUUAAUCCAGUUUUUUUCCAGACCUUUACGCCCAGACUCUGGUGUCUGCCUGCAGAACAUAACAGAGGGGACACAAGUGUGCGCAGUUGGCUCUAAGCAAUGUAAACUGGGCUGGCUGAGGUGUUGACGGGUAAUCUUUGAAGCCAAGUGACAGCUGUGUUUCCUCAGCGGGAUGGCAGAGCCAGCUCCAGGGCCAUCAGCUGGAUUCAAGUCUCAAGGUAAGAGGCUGUGACUUCCCAGGACAAAUCAGGACCGAGGCACUGGCCUGCUAAAUGUUGAGUACCACCUCAGUUGUGUUUUGCAGGGGGGUCUUCCUGCAUACCUUCUGUCUGCAUAUCCCAGAGCUCUUUUCUGGCCUCCCGGCCGGCUCAACUAGUGUUACAUUAAUUCCCGCCAUUCUCACCGUCACGCAUCCUUCAGCCCCUGAUUCUUCGGGAAUUAAUAAAUUCUAGGCUAGGCCCUGGGUCCAGGCCUUCGUCCCGUGAAUCCCCAUCUGGGAUGAGGACCCCGUGGCUGGCCGUAACUGUCCAGGUGUCUCAGUGUCUUCAUUCUCAUGGCAGGGUGCAGUGGAGGUGGCAGGCUGAAAUUAACUCUCCACAGUUCUAAUAAUGUUUCCAUCCAAUAACAAAUACAUAGCUGGCUUUGAACUCACUUUGUAGCCCAGGCUGGCCUCAAACUUGUAGUGAUCCUCCUGCCUCAGCCUCCCGAGUGCCGACCACCAGUGCUCUCUUGAACAAGUGUAUUGGCAUUGGCUUAGCUGCGGUGUGGCUCUGAUUUUCCUUCAAAAUAAAAAACUCACACACUCCUGG